RNAcentral lists this ribosomal RNA (443 nucleotides) under uncultured bacterium. RNAcentral's name for it is "partial 16S ribosomal RNA". It matches the Rfam family "Bacterial small subunit ribosomal RNA", at positions 338 to 795 of the family's 1533-position model. The record is from RNAcentral.
CCUACGGGUGACAGCAGUGGGGAAUAUUGGGCAAUGGGCGCAAGCCUGACCCAGCAACGCCGCGUGAAGGAAGAAGGCUUUCGGGUUGUAAACUUCUUUUCUCAGGGACGAAGCAAGUGACGGUACCUGCGGAAUAAGCCACGGCUAACUACGUGCCAGCAGCCGCGGUAAUACGGAGGUGGCAAUCGUUAUCCGGAUUUACUGGGUGUAAAGGGCGUGUAGGCGGGAAAGCAAGUCAGAUGUGAAAACCAUGGGCUCAACCUGUGGCCUGCAUUUGAAACUGGUUUUCUUGAGUACUGGAGAGGCAGACGGAAUGCGUAGUGUAGCGGUGAAAUGCGUAGAUAUUAGGAGGAACACCAGUGGCGAAGGCGGUCUGCUGGACAGCAACUGACGCUGAGGCGCGAAAGCGUGGGGAGCAAACAGGAUUAGAUACCCCAGUAGUC